AUUGCUUCUUGGUCUUUUGGCUAAGCUCAAGUGUAGUAUCUGUUCUUAUCAGCUUAAUAGCCAGGGAGUUGGUUUUAAAAAAAAUCCUAUUUUGGAGUGUUUAGAUCAGAUCGGGGACCUGAGAGAGAUACUCAGUUUACUAACUAGCCUGGGCUAUUUACA
Molecule: small nuclear RNA, 162 nt
Filed under: Lynx canadensis (Canada lynx)
Lineage: Eukaryota; Metazoa; Chordata; Mammalia; Carnivora; Felidae
Description: U2 spliceosomal RNA (ENSLCNG00005007677.1)
Rfam family: U2 spliceosomal RNA
About the family: U2 is a small nuclear RNA (snRNA) component of the spliceosome (involved in pre-mRNA splicing). Complementary binding between U2 snRNA (in an area lying towards the 5' end but 3' to hairpin I) and the branchpoint sequence (BPS) of the intron results the bulging out of an unpaired adenosine, on the BPS, which initiates a nucleophilic attack at the intronic 5' splice site, thus starting the first of two transesterification reactions that mediate splicing.
Source: Rfam by way of RNAcentral